This 497-nucleotide ribosomal RNA is filed under the name uncultured bacterium. RNAcentral's name for it is "partial 16S ribosomal RNA". It matches the Rfam family "Bacterial small subunit ribosomal RNA", at positions 28 to 507 of the family's 1533-position model. The record is from RNAcentral.
GAUGAACGCUGGCGGCGUGCCUAAUACAUGCAAGUCGAGCGAACAGACGAGGAGCUUGCUCCUCUGACGUUAGCGGCGGACGGGUGAGUAACACGUGGAUAACCUACCUAUAAGACUGGGAUAACUUCGGGAAACCGGAGCUAAUACCGGAUAAUAUAUUGAACCGCAUGGUUCAAUAGUGAAAGACGGUUUUGCUGUCACUUAUAGAUGGAUCCGCGCCGCAUUAGCUAGUUGGUAAGGUAACGGCUUACCAAGGCAACGAUGCGUAGCCGAACUGAGAGGGUGAUCGGCCACCCUGGAACUUAGACACGGACCAGACUACUACGGGAGGCAGCAGUAGGGAAUCUUCCGCAAAGGGCGAAAGCCUGACGGAGCAACGCCGCGUGAGUGAUGAAGGCCUUCGGAUCGUAAAACUCUGUUAUUAGGGAAGAACAAAUGUGUAAGUAACUAUGCACGUCUUGACGGUACCUAAUCAGAAAGCCACGGCUAACUACGUG